Molecule: ribosomal RNA, 492 nt
Filed under: uncultured bacterium
Lineage: Bacteria
Description: partial 16S ribosomal RNA
Rfam family: Bacterial small subunit ribosomal RNA
Source: RNAcentral
AGUGAACGCUGGCGGUAGGCCUAACACAUGCAAGUCGAACGGCAGCACAGUAAGAGCUUGCUCUUACGGGUGGCGAGUGGCGGACGGGUGAGGAAUACAUCGGAAUCUACUUUUUCGUGGGGGAUAACGUAGGGAAACUUACGCUAAUACCGCAUACGACCUACGGGUGAAAGCAGGGGAUCUUCGGACCUUGCGCGAUUGAAUGAGCCGAUGUCGGAUUAGCUAGUUGGCGGGGUAAAGGCCCACCAAGGCGACGAUCCGUGGCUGGUCUGAGAGGAUGAUCAGCCACAUUGGAACUGAGACACGGUCCAGACUCCUACGGGAGGCAGCAGUGGGGAAUAUUGGACAAUGGGCGCAAGCCUGAUCCAGCCAUACCGCGUGGGUGAAGAAGGCCUUCGGGUUGUAAAGCCCUUUUGUUGGGAAAGAAAAGCAGCAGGUUAAUACCCCGCUGUUCUGACGGUACCCAAAGAAUAAGCACCGGCUAACUUCGUG